UAUGAGUAAUCCUCAAAGAAAGAUAGAAUAAUACAGUUCAAUAUUUGAAAGAUGGGAAAUUAUGAAAAUUAUUUACAUUUGAUGGAUAUUUGUCUUCAUCUUAUUUGUUGUUAACACAACGUUUCGGCUGAUAUACACUCCAGCCUUCUUCAGGUGUCCUGGGGAAACUUUGAA
Molecule: long non-coding RNA, 174 nt
Organism: Octopus sinensis (East Asian common octopus)
Lineage: Eukaryota; Metazoa; Mollusca; Cephalopoda; Octopoda; Octopodidae
Exons: 4
Source: RefSeq, a predicted model, not a curated record